CAUGUCUGUUCCUGCUGGACAAUAAAUUCAUAAAUGAGGAAACUAAGGCUCAGAAAGGGUAAGUGAUUUGCCCGAGGUCAGACAGUUAGUGUCUGAGGCAAGAUUUGAACUCAGGUCUUUCUAGCUCCCAUCUAGCACUACCUGUUCCACUGUACCUACUAUUUCUAUAAGUUUUUAAAAGCCUAGAAUCAAAUUUACACUUGAUAUAAUUAGCAAAGAACCAUCAUCUUCUAUACAAUAUGUUUUCAAGCUGUUUUCUCUAAUGCAGUGAGUUCUGAUUUGGAGAAUUCUUGGCAUAAAAUAGUUCUCCCUGCAGGCCAGAUUACCUACUCAUACCUAGCUCUUGCAACUGUGGAAAUUUUUUCUUGGAACUUUACUUGUAAGUAUUUUUCAUUUACUGUAAUAUACUAUUAGAGUUGAAAGGGAUCUUUGGAAGUCCAACUCCCUCAUUUUGACUGAGCUAGGUCUGGAACCCAGGUGGUCUCUUAUCUACUAGCCCCACACCACACCAUAACAUUUUCAUAGUCAAGUGGCUGCAGCAGAAUUCAUGUUUCACUUUUUUUUUUUAGCGGGGAUGGCACAUUCUCUCAUGCCUCAACAGUAAUCAAAGAACAAUGCAGCCUGAUUGUCUGCUCAUCACCAUGAAUGUGGAGCCAGCCAUCAGAAGGGAGAGCUUUCUAGUUGCCUUGGUCUGGAGAGGAGAGCUGUCCAAAUCUGUGUCCCAGAAGCCACCUUCUGAGAUACUACCUCAACAUGGCACACUGAAUAUACAUCAGCAUAAAGUCGGUCAGCCAGGCAAUAAACAUUUAUCAAACACCAUGAGCCAAAAAGAGCUUGCCUAAUGGAAAAGGAUCCAGGAUCCUUCAAGGCAUCCUAUACAAUGUGGUGCUUUGAUCCCCUGGAGAGGAAAUGCCUCCAGUUCUUGUAUGGAGGGUGUGUAGGAAAUGAAAACAGAUUUCUCACCAGAAGGGAGUGUUAUCAGAGAUGUGCUCCAAAAUCAGCUGACAACAGCCUGUUCUGGGAUGAGGAUGAAGAAAUUAACAUUGGUCUUAUUGUGGGGAUCAUCGUGGGAUGUGUGUCAAUAAUUGUUUUGCUUGUGACACUGACUGUGGUCUUCUUGAAGAAGAAGAAGAAGAAGAAGAAGAAGAAGAAGAAGAAGAAGAAAAAGAAGAAGAGGCAUGGGAAAGGAAAAGAAACACAGCAACUGAAUGUUAAAUUGACCUGAAACAAGAAGCAAUUUGUAUUCAGGCUAAUCACAU
RNAcentral lists this long non-coding RNA (1259 nucleotides) under Phascolarctos cinereus (koala). Its description in RNAcentral is "lncRNA (ENSPCIG00000031901.1)". The record is from RNAcentral. Lineage: Eukaryota; Metazoa; Chordata; Mammalia; Diprotodontia; Phascolarctidae.